This 201-nucleotide non-coding RNA is filed under the name Deltaproteobacteria bacterium. Its description in RNAcentral is "6S RNA". It matches the Rfam family "6S / SsrS RNA". Rfam says of the family: E. coli 6S RNA was the first non coding RNA to be sequenced, but its function was unknown until recently. It consists of 184 nucleotides that fold into an extended hairpin structure with a large single-stranded internal bulge. The 6S RNA specifically associates with RNA polymerase holoenzyme containing the sigma70 specificity factor. The record is from RNAcentral. Lineage: Bacteria; Pseudomonadati; Myxococcota; Myxococcia.
UCUCCCCUGCUAUGUUCGUGAUUAUGGGUAUAUUUAGAACCAACACUAUUAAAUAAGGGAACCUUCCCUGACUGUCAGCCGACGGAUUCCCGCCCAUUUAUUGGGAUGGAUUGGAAGGGUCGAAAGCAGUUAUUUUAAAGGUACCCACCUAUUUAUAUAGGUUCAAAUAACCCAUCAACACGGCAUUAAAGCGGGGGAGAA